GAUUAAGCCAUGCAUGUGUAAGUGUAAAUGUAGAACUUUGGAACUGCGAAUGGCUCAUUAUAUCAGUUAUAGUUUAUUUGGUGAAUUAUACUACUUGGAUAACCGUAGUAAUUCUAGGGCUAAUACAUGAGAAAGUCCUCUUUGGAGGUGUGUUUAUUAGAAUGAAAACCAUAUGCUUCGGCAUGAUAGUGAGUAAUAGUAACCUAUCGUAUCGCAUGCUUAAUGUAGCGAUGAUUCUUUCAAGUUUCUGCCCUAUCAGCUUUCGAUGGUAGUAUAUGGGCCUACCAUG
RNAcentral lists this ribosomal RNA (289 nucleotides) under Blastocystis sp. Its description in RNAcentral is "partial small subunit ribosomal RNA". It matches the Rfam family "Eukaryotic small subunit ribosomal RNA", at positions 42 to 348 of the family's 1831-position model. Lineage: Eukaryota; Bigyra; Opalinata; Blastocystidae. The record is from RNAcentral.